This 945-nucleotide long non-coding RNA is filed under the name Homo sapiens (human). Its description in RNAcentral is "non-protein coding lnc-STOM-5:1". Lineage: Eukaryota; Metazoa; Chordata; Mammalia; Primates; Hominidae. The record is from RNAcentral.
CAGUAUUUGACUAAAAGUCAACUGCAAGCUCUGAGUCAGGUUUUGAUCACACACUGGAGCCUGUUCCUGCAAGCAAAGAUCAUCUUAAUGCCUCUCUUAACACCUGUUGUGUCUGCUCCCGUUUCCGUCCUGAUAGUCACAAAGCUCCAGAGCUGUAAAAUCAGAGAGAAAGUCUACCAUUUCAUAUGACCUAAGCACCACAAGGUGUUGGGUAGUACACAGCCAAAUAUUGAGCACAUUAAGAAAGAAGUGCUCCUCCUGAGGGAGAUCUUUGUGGUAAUGGAAUAGUUCUGUAUCAAUUACUGUGGUUAUAUCAAUCUACACAUGUUAAAAUGGCACAGAACUAUAAAUACAUUUUGUGCCACUGUCAAUUUCCUGGUUUUGAUACUCUAGUUAAGUAAGACGUAACUAUUGGGGGAAACUGGGUAAAGGGGACAUGUGACCUCUCUGUACUGUUGUUGCAAAUUCCUGUGAAUCUGUACUUAUUUCAAAAUCGAAUGUUUUUAUAAGUGCACCUUGUGUACAUUAACAUACUUUGAACAUUGUGCAAUAGAACAAGUCUAAUGCAAACACAGCCUACUUUCCAAAUAUGAGGUCUUCAGCCACACCCCAAGAGAAGGCCUGAGGUUGGGAAUGCCCUUGCACAUGCUUUUCCCUCUACCUGGGAUACCCUUUCCCACCUCCUGCACCGCUUAUUCCCCUUCCCCAGGCUGGCUCCUUCUCAUUUCUCAGGCGACAUCUCAAAGCCCCUUCCUUACAGAGGUGUUCCCCUGUCCUAACCUUUGCUGUUCUCCGAAUAUUCCACUCCUUUCACAGCUUCCUUCACCAUGUGUAAUGAUUCAAUUACUUGUUUGUGGCCCAUCUCCCAACUAGAGUAUAAGGUAAACUCCACGAGGCCCUUAGCACACUCCCUGCCACAUGGAAGAUGCUCCAAGAAGAUUUUGU